GCUGCACAUAUUUUUCAACACCAUUAACUCUUCAAGCUAGCCACCUUUUCAAUACGCCAAUCAAGAUGAGGGCUACCCAAGUUUUCCUAUUGCUUGCCUUCAUGGUGCUGCUAUCAAAUGAGGUAGGAACAACUGCAUCAACAGAAAGUAGCGGCAAUGGAGAUUGUGAACCAGCAGUUAUUAAGUUGGGCGAUGAUUGUAUCCCGAAGGAGUGCAGCCACAACUGCAUUGCCCUCGGAGCUCGUAGUGGAAACUGCAUCGGAGGGCCGGCAUGCAAUUGUGUUUUCUGUGGACCUAGGCAUGCGCCACCUCCGCAACAAUAGGAUUCUGUUACAUGGGUGCUGCAGCCGCAAUGCUGCUGCUGAUGUUUAGGAACUUCUGCUCAAGGAUAGAUUCAUAGAUGUAUACCUACAGUAACAGUGCUGGAGCAAGUUAAAUGGCUGGAAUAAUUGAUGAUUAGUGAUUUAUUAAAGUGGAAUAUGUCUGUGCUUUCUAUCCAAAGAAAAAAUUUAUGGAAAACUAAAAAAA
Molecule: long non-coding RNA, 528 nt
Organism: Sorghum bicolor (sorghum)
Lineage: Eukaryota; Viridiplantae; Streptophyta; Magnoliopsida; Poales; Poaceae
Exons: 2
Source: RefSeq, a predicted model, not a curated record